Molecule: transfer RNA, 88 nt
Filed under: Salibacterium qingdaonense
Lineage: Bacteria; Bacillati; Bacillota; Bacilli; Caryophanales; Bacillaceae
Also listed under: 1 other name
Description: Bacillus qingdaonensis tRNA
Rfam family: tRNA
About the family: Transfer RNA (tRNA) molecules are approximately 80 nucleotides in length. Their secondary structure includes four short double-helical elements and three loops (D, anti-codon, and T loops).
Source: Rfam by way of RNAcentral
GCCGGGGUGGUGGAAUGGGCAGACACACAGGACUUAAAAUCCUGCGGUUGGUCUACCAACCGUGCCGGUUCAAGUCCGGCCCUCGGCA